UGGCAGGUGCGCCAUCGGUAGGCGGCCGCCCUGUUAAGGCGUUGUAUGUGGGUUCGAGUCCCACCCUGCCAGCCA
Molecule: transfer RNA, 75 nt
Filed under: Gammaproteobacteria bacterium SG8_11
Lineage: Bacteria; Pseudomonadati; Pseudomonadota; Gammaproteobacteria
Description: tRNA-Asn
Rfam family: tRNA
About the family: Transfer RNA (tRNA) molecules are approximately 80 nucleotides in length. Their secondary structure includes four short double-helical elements and three loops (D, anti-codon, and T loops). Further hydrogen bonds mediate the characteristic L-shaped molecular structure. tRNAs have two regions of fundamental functional importance: the anti-codon, which is responsible for specific mRNA codon recognition, and the 3' end, to which the tRNAs corresponding amino acid is attached (by aminoacyl-tRNA synthetases). tRNAs cope with the degeneracy of the genetic code in two manners: having more than one tRNA (with a specific anti-codon) for a particular amino acid; and 'wobble' base-pairing, i.e. permitting non-standard base-pairing at the 3rd anti-codon position.
Source: RNAcentral